RNAcentral lists this unclassified non-coding RNA (274 nucleotides) under uncultured fungus. RNAcentral's name for it is "partial contains small subunit ribosomal RNA, internal transcribed spacer 1, and 5.8S ribosomal RNA". The stretch from base 1 to 73 matches the Rfam family "Eukaryotic small subunit ribosomal RNA", at positions 1759 to 1831 of the family's 1831-position model. The record is from RNAcentral. Lineage: Eukaryota; Fungi.
ACAAACUUGGUCAUUUAGAGGAAGUAAUAGUCGUAACAAGGUUUCCGUAGGUGAACCUGCGGAAGGAUCAUCUAUGAAUUUUGAUCUCCUCCAGAAGGCUUUGUCCCGCUUGGGGCCUGGACUUUCUUUGGGAAUUUGGCCACUCGUCUUUUGACAAGUGCAUUUUCCCGCAAAACCCCCCCAAAACAUAACAUAGAAAUAUGUUUGUUUUAAUAACACUUACACAACUUUUAACGAUGGAUCUCUUGGGUCCCGCAUCGAUGAAGAACGCAGC